AUUGAACGCUGGCGGCAGGCCUAACACAUGCAAGUCGAGCGGAGCGGCGGACGGGUGAGUAAUGCCUAGGAAUCUGCCUGGUAGUGGGGUAUAACGUCCGGCAACGGGCGCUAAUACCGCAUACUAUCAGAUGAGCCUAGGUCGGAUGAGCUAGUUGGUGGGGUAAAGGCCUACCAAGGCGACGAUGCGUAACUGGUCUGAGAGGAUGAUCAGUAACACUGGAAAUGAGACACGGUCCAGACUCCUACGGGAGGCAGCAGUGGGGAAUAUUGGACAAUGGGCGAAAGCCGGAUCCAGCCAGGCCGCGUGUGUGAAGAAGGUCUUCGGUUUGUAAAGCACUGUAAGCUGGGAGGCGUUACCAGCAGAAUAAGCACCGGCUAACUACGUGCCAGCAGCCGCGGUAAUAC
This 407-nucleotide ribosomal RNA is filed under the name uncultured bacterium. RNAcentral's name for it is "partial 16S ribosomal RNA". It matches the Rfam family "Bacterial small subunit ribosomal RNA", at positions 30 to 526 of the family's 1533-position model. The record is from RNAcentral.